This 612-nucleotide long non-coding RNA is filed under the name Homo sapiens (human). Its description in RNAcentral is "HSALNT0281565". Lineage: Eukaryota; Metazoa; Chordata; Mammalia; Primates; Hominidae. The record is from RNAcentral.
GAAGAUGCCACCCACAUUUUAGGGGGCAGCCUGAGCCUUUUCCCAAGCAAGAUGCCUCCUGGGGAGACUAGUGCAGACAGGCAGUUCUGAUUAUGUAUGCAAAUACAGGUCUGGCCCUGAAGCUUAUUUGAGAGCCACACAGCUCAGCUAAGCCACCCUGGAGAAAGAAUCUUACAAAGAAUACUAAAGAGCAUCCAAGUGUGAAGAAUGAAACACACAAUGCACAUGAAGUCCAGCCAUGGUGUAGCCAAGGAGACCCACUAAGACCACCAAAAGCUUGGAAAUGAGGAUGCAGGGGCAAAGGACGGCAUUAUAGGCGCAUACAUCUCUUCACACCAUGAAUGAUUUGAAGCUUGCAUGCUUUUGGAUUGCCCUGGUGAAGAUUUAGUUUCCAGCUCAAGAAAACCCAUGUCAGAAAAUCGUCCUUCAGCAUUCUCAGAGGAUAAAUAAAAAAGAUUGCUACUGAAAGAACCCAAUUUUGUUUUUCAAAAUAUAUGUGCAAAUAGACAUUGAAAAAAAUAUGGGCAUGAUAUAAUCAAAAUGGUAUAAAUUGUCAUGUAUGGAUAGAGGAUAAUAAUGAUUUCUAUUUUGGGGGAGGACUUUUUAAUUUUC